UACGUAGGGUGCAAGCGUUAAUCGGAAUUACUGGGCGUAAAGCGUGCGCAGGCGGUGAUGUAAGACAGAUGUGAAAUCCCCGGGCUCAACCUGGGAACUGCAUUUGUGACUGCAUCGCUGGAGUACGGCAGAGGGGGAUGGAAUUCCGCGUGUAGCAGUGAAAUGCGUAGAUAUGCGGAGGAACACCGAUGGCGAAGGCAAUCCCCUGGGCCUGCACUGACGCUCAUGCACGACCGCGUGGGGAGCGAACCGG
This 253-nucleotide ribosomal RNA is filed under the name uncultured bacterium. Its description in RNAcentral is "partial 16S ribosomal RNA". It matches the Rfam family "Bacterial small subunit ribosomal RNA", at positions 524 to 776 of the family's 1533-position model. The record is from RNAcentral.